RNAcentral lists this transfer RNA (69 nucleotides) under Ictidomys tridecemlineatus (thirteen-lined ground squirrel). Its description in RNAcentral is "Spermophilus tridecemlineatus (thirteen-lined ground squirrel) tRNA". It matches the Rfam family "tRNA". From Rfam's summary of the family: Transfer RNA (tRNA) molecules are approximately 80 nucleotides in length. Their secondary structure includes four short double-helical elements and three loops (D, anti-codon, and T loops). Further hydrogen bonds mediate the characteristic L-shaped molecular structure. tRNAs have two regions of fundamental functional importance: the anti-codon, which is responsible for specific mRNA codon recognition, and the 3' end, to which the tRNAs corresponding amino acid is attached (by aminoacyl-tRNA synthetases). tRNAs cope with the degeneracy of the genetic code in two manners: having more than one tRNA (with a specific anti-codon) for a particular amino acid; and 'wobble' base-pairing, i.e. permitting non-standard base-pairing at the 3rd anti-codon position. The record is from Rfam by way of RNAcentral. Lineage: Eukaryota; Metazoa; Chordata; Mammalia; Rodentia; Sciuridae.
GGGGCUGUGGCUCAGUGGUAGAGCGCGUGCCUAGAAUGUGUGAGGCACUGAGUUCAAUUCUCAGUACCA